GACGAACGCUGGCGGCGUGCUUAACACAUGCAAGUCGAACGGAAAGGCCCCUUUGGGGGUACUCGAGUGGCGAACGGGUGAGUAACACGUGAGUAACCUUCCCUUGUCUUCGGGAUAACUUCAGGAAACUGGGGCUAAUACCGGAUAGGAAUCCUUGCUGCAUGGUGGGGGUUGGAAAGCUUCGGCGGUUUUGGAUGGACUGGCGGCUUAUCAGCUUGUUGGUGGGGUAGUGGCUUACCAAGGCUUUGACGGGUAGCUGGCCUGAGAGGGCGACCGGCCACAUUGGGACUGAGAUACGGCCCAGACUCCGACGGGAGGCAGCAGUGUGGAAUAUUGCACAAUGGGCGGAAGCCUGAAGCAGCAACGCCGCGGGCGGGAUGACGGCCUUAGGGUUGAAAACCGCUUUCAGCAGGGGCGAAGCUUGUGGUGACGGUACCUGCAGAAGAAGCACCGGCUAACUACGUG
RNAcentral lists this ribosomal RNA (465 nucleotides) under uncultured bacterium. RNAcentral describes it as "partial 16S ribosomal RNA". It matches the Rfam family "Bacterial small subunit ribosomal RNA", at positions 28 to 507 of the family's 1533-position model. The record is from RNAcentral.